Molecule: transfer RNA, 68 nt
Filed under: Marmota monax (woodchuck)
Lineage: Eukaryota; Metazoa; Chordata; Mammalia; Rodentia; Sciuridae
Description: tRNA.Ala
Source: RNAcentral
GGAGUUGUGGCUCAGUGGUAGAGCACUGCCUCGCAUGUGUGAGGCACUGGGUUCAAUCCUCAGCACCA